GGGCUCAUAGCUCAGCGGGUAGAGCUCCCGGCUCAUAACCGGAGGGUCCCUGGUUCGAACCCAGGUGAGCCCA
Molecule: transfer RNA, 73 nt
Filed under: Deltaproteobacteria bacterium
Lineage: Bacteria; Pseudomonadati; Myxococcota; Myxococcia
Description: tRNA-Met
Rfam family: tRNA
About the family: Transfer RNA (tRNA) molecules are approximately 80 nucleotides in length. Their secondary structure includes four short double-helical elements and three loops (D, anti-codon, and T loops). Further hydrogen bonds mediate the characteristic L-shaped molecular structure. tRNAs have two regions of fundamental functional importance: the anti-codon, which is responsible for specific mRNA codon recognition, and the 3' end, to which the tRNAs corresponding amino acid is attached (by aminoacyl-tRNA synthetases). tRNAs cope with the degeneracy of the genetic code in two manners: having more than one tRNA (with a specific anti-codon) for a particular amino acid; and 'wobble' base-pairing, i.e. permitting non-standard base-pairing at the 3rd anti-codon position.
Source: RNAcentral